GACGAACGCUGGCGGCGUGCCUAAUACAUGCAAGUAGAACGCUGAAGGAGGAGCUUGCUUCUCUGGAUGAGUUGCGAACGGGUGAGUAACGCGUAGGUAACCUGCCUGGUAGCGGGGGAUAACUAUUGGAAACGAUAGCUAAUACCGCAUAAUAGUAGAUGUCGCAUGACAUUUGCUUAAAAGGUGCAAUUGCAUCACUACCAGAUGGACCUGCGUUGUAUUAGCUAGUUGGUGAGGUAACGGCUCACCAAGGCAACGAUACAUAGCCGACCUGAGAGGGGGAUCGGCCCCACUGGGACUUAGCCACGGCCCAGACUCCUGCGGGAGGCAGCCGUAGGGAAUCUUCGGCCAUGGACGGAAGUCUGACCGAGCAACGCCGCGUGAGUGCAGAAGGGUUUCGGAUCGUAAAGCUCUGUUGUAGGUGAAGAACGAGUGUGAGAGUUGAAAGUUCACACUGUGACGGUAUCUUACCAGAAAGGGACGGCUAACUACGUG
This 495-nucleotide ribosomal RNA is filed under the name uncultured bacterium. RNAcentral describes it as "partial 16S ribosomal RNA". It matches the Rfam family "Bacterial small subunit ribosomal RNA", at positions 28 to 507 of the family's 1533-position model. The record is from RNAcentral.